GCCUAUGGUUUUUUACCAGCGCAAGAGAGGCAGCGGGAGGCGACAUAUUCUUUGUUCCUUAUGUUUGUUUGCUUGCUUGCCAUCAAAAUAAACCAUUGGAAACCGUUGAACUUUUUCAUGGACAUGCCUGCGUGCAUCAAAUCCCCACGGUGCAUCAGUGACCCUUUGAUUAAGUUUAGUUAAAGUUUGAUAUUUUGAUUUUUCUUUUUGACUUUUUUUUUUAUAACAAAUGGCCACUACAAUAAUCAUACAGUAGCCUUGCUCCCUACCGGUGUUAGGUUCCUUUAAAACUGCGCAGUUCUUGAAUGAACCCUGCUGCUGUUUCCUGCACAGUGCCCGUAUGUUCUCAUUACCUUCGGUAGUGUUACAAAACAGAGUUUGACUUACUGGGGCGAACUCAAGUAGCUCAUACAUUUGGAUCCAAUGCACAUCAGCGACAAACUUUGCUGUGAGUGUUUUUUGGUUAUUCAAAGCCCGAUUGUGAAUUCUCCACUCAGGAAAUAAGAGCUAAUCAUGCUAGCUGGUGUAGUGCGUGCUACGGUGUAACCACGGAAACAAACACAAACUGAUGGUGCAUCCACAGACGGAUAGAAUCCAUCCUUUUUACUGACGCACUGUCAGAAUAAACAUGGCUGAUGAUGAAAAAAUGACUAGAACGAGCCCAAAUUCUUCUAAGUCUCAGACUUGUUAAAUAUCUAUGCAGAGCCAUCCUUAACAAGGCUGGACAGUGACACUGAUGAGGAAGAUUCAGAGUUGGAUGUUGAGGAAGUGGACAUGGAGGAUGUUGAUGACACCCAGGAGGAGCUUAUUGCCUGAAAGGCACUGAAGGCUCAAACAGGAGCGUGGAUGCAUCUCCUCCAUCUGACCCAGAUAUGUUGAGUGCUUCACAAGCUGCACAUGCUAGGAGGGAGUUUUUUAUGAUGUCACCUGAAGAAAAAGUUGAACACUUUGAGAGACGAGCUCAGAACCACAAAGACCACCAGGAAUUUGAUGCUUGCAUCCAGGACCUAGUGCGUUGUGUGGCCCUGACAAGGUUGGUGUAUGAAGAUGGACAUCUUAAAUUAGCCCAGACCCAUGUCAGACUGGCUAAAGCAUAUUUCCAAUUUAAAGGCUGGGGUCUGCAGGCCCAGGAGCACUUGGCAAUGGCCAGAGAACAGCUUCUGUUCUGCUCCUCCAUCUCAUCCUGCACGGGAGAAAAGCUUGAAGUUCUCCUGUGCCUCCUAAGUGCACAUCUCACACAGGGAGGUACUUCCCUGCUAACAGACAAUCUUGAGGAGGCAGAAUGCUCUUUUCUGGAGGCAGAGCAGGUUCUUGGGGAGCUUCAUCAACUUGAAGGCAUCAACCAGGAGGAGAAGAUACAGACUGAGUUGGAAAUCUGCAAUGGUCUAACCAGGGUCUAUAAGAGACAGAGCAGAUCAGAAGAGGCCUUAAGCCAGUGUGAGAGGUCUCUGCAGUUGCUGAGGGACUGCGGAAAACCAGAAAAGAUGUGCUCCAUCUACAGGGACAUGGCCGCCAUUGAACAGGACAGUGGUCAUCUGGAUCAAGCCAUAGAGCAUCUUACCAAGGCUCAUGCCAUUGCUGUGAGUCAGAGCCCAGAGGGGCUACAAGGGGCUCAUACCUCCCACAGCCUGGCCCUCAUCCUAUCUGCGGCAGAGCCCCAUCACAAUGACUCAGCUGAGCGUUACUUUGAAGAGAGUCUUAGUGCAUACAAAAACUCUGCAGGUUCACUGGAUCCAGCAUUUCUUGCAGUGCAGGAUGAUUACUGUCGAUUCCUCCUCUUCAGUGACCAGCAAGAGAGAUGUUUCGAGAUACAGAAGGCUUCUCUUUCUUCAAAAAGAUCUACAUUUGGUGACCUGAGUGCUGAGGUAGCGGACACCUUUCAGCUCAUCGGGAGUGUGGAGAUGACCAAGGGAAGGAUGAAGCAGGCCCACAGGAAUAUGACAAAGGUUGGUCACAUGUUACAGAUCACAAAACAAACAGCACGGCUAAUGUUUAUCUUGGUGACAACCUUUAAAAGCAUAUUAGAAAUGCUGGACAGAGUAGAAGUUAAAGUCAUCCCACAUGACACUUUGAACCUGCCAAAGUAUUUGAAGGGCUUUAAUGAAAGGCCAGCGGUCGGUGGGUGUGUCCAUCUCCACCAGUGGGAGGCUUGUUCAGAAUACACACACACACACACACAUACACACACACACACAUACACAUACACACACACAAAGAGCCCCUGUCAUUUUGAGAUGAGCUAUUUCCACCAUCCUCCCUAAAGCUCGGUGCUAUCAGAAUCGCAGGCUAAUCUUGGAAGGUUGCAGUGUGCACAGGCGUGAUCCCUGGUGUAAAAUAUCACACAGAGUGACUUUGUGUUUCCUCAGCCUGUGUGGAGCCUGGCAGAUGGGCAACACAACUCUAGAAAGAGAUGGCUGUUUGCUAAAUGCUGUCAAUUAAAGGGACACUGACCCUGAUUAGUGAGGCAUGCCAUUAUGUCCUCACUCCAAAAGUGCCGUUCCUGCCUUUCAGCACACAUGCUUUGAAUUAAAAAUCAGCUUUUUACUUAAUUUAAUAAAGCUCCUCCUUUAGAGCUGUUUUCACUUUGCUCUUACAUAACAAGUGUUUUUGUUAGAUGUUCAUCUAUGACCUCAGUUCUGCCGCACAUCAAGCACACUAAAAUAUACCAGUAUGGGGAUUUCUUCAUACUAGUGUUGACAUGACUGUAAGAAAAGGAGCACCGUUGCUAUGUUGGUUUGUUUUGGCAUUCAAGUGCAGAGGGGUCCAAGUUCCCCCUGACACUGUCGGGGUACAUUAAGACUCCCUCUUUCAGCACCACUUUUGACUGGUAACCUUUCGGAAGUUCCCCGACACACACAAGAUAUGUCAGGAUGUUGUUUUUUUUCCCAUGUCAUCAUUACACCAUCUUCUCCCUGAUUGAGUAACUUUUGUUUUUCCGAUGGAAACAUGGGCUCAUGGACUCAUAGAUACAGUACAGGAGAAAAAACAGAGAACAAUGGCACACACACACAUACAUACACACACUUGACAUUCCCCCUUCCUCUGUAGUGUUGCUGAAAAAAAGGACUUCCAUUACAUCAACCUUAGCAACAGGGAAAACAUCCAACAGGCCAGAUGGAUCUGCUCCAGAUUACUGAAUGUUUUAUUUUCCCUGAUGUAGAGGAGAACUUAUUCAGCCUUUUUUCCUGACCUCAACAAAGCUGUCUUCACAUUGUGUUAUAAUGUUUGCCCAAAAACAGGCUUUUAUCAUGUCUGGUUUUUUUACCUGUUUUUAGUCAAACGUUUAGAUUUUUCUGCAGUGUUUUCGCCCACAAUCUAAGCAGUCUGUGCCCUUUCCUCUCAUUUGAUUGGACCGGACUAAAUGUAGAGUGGAAAAUGACUCAGACUGCGUCUUAAAUUUGUUGGCUUUACUACCACAGACCCUGGGUUGUUGGUUUGGAGUCCUUGUAAUAAAUCCAGCAUAUCCCCCUUGUUGACCUGACACUCCGAGUGGUCAGCACAGGUGUUAUAUAAACCUUGGAGUGCAACAGUAGUUAUUUUGGGAUGUUUAGUGGUUUCCCAUGUUGCUAGGAAGUGUUUUUCAUCUCUGAGUAUGAGUUGCACCUAUCAUCUUUCUGCCGUCAUUAUUUUUGUUUUAUUACAGUGCCUGGAGAUUCAGAGUUUGUUGUACGGUCCUCAGCACAAGAAGACAAAAGCUACACAAAAAGCUGUGGAUAUGCUGGCUCGGGCUCCAGAGGUUGCUGAGAGACAUCAGAGGCAAGGUAGAAGGAAAACAAAACCUCGUAUGUUUUCAGUUGUACCAUCCAGCGGCGAUGAUGGAAACUCGAUGUCAGAUUCCUACACUGCUUCUUCCUUUUCUUAAAGUUAUGUCUCUAAAAUAUCCUGCAGGUUGCUUACCAUGAACAACUGACAUCCUUUUUCAAAGACUUUUGUAUCUGUUAGAUAAUACAAGCAAGUUUCCACUGAUGAAAAGAGCUAUAGCUAUUCUUGUAAUGUCCACUAGCAUUAUGUGACUUUGUGUUAUUUUAGAUGAAAUGAUCAACGUUGAAGAAAAACUCACACUCAGAAAAUAUACCCACCACAGGUUUUAAUUAAGGUACGAUGUGAAUCAGUUUCCAAAUAUGAGCUGGUAUUUCUGUAACCAAAGAAAUCAUGUCAUUUGGUCAGUAGAAAUCAUGAUGUUAGUAAAACUGUUGGGUUAACCAUGAUGACACACACUUACUGAACGCUUGACUUAUUAAACAUUCUUUAUACAUCAAUA
This is an RNA transcript of Notolabrus celidotus (New Zealand spotty), 4261 nucleotides long. It is a transcript of the gene named tetratricopeptide repeat domain 23, with no coding region annotated. The transcript is spliced from 11 exons. The record is from RefSeq and is a predicted model, not a curated record. NCBI's taxonomy places the organism in Eukaryota, Metazoa, Chordata, Actinopteri, Labriformes, Labridae.